This 72-nucleotide transfer RNA is filed under the name Felis catus (domestic cat). It matches the Rfam family "tRNA". Rfam says of the family: Transfer RNA (tRNA) molecules are approximately 80 nucleotides in length. RNAcentral also lists the same sequence under 4 other names. The record is from Rfam by way of RNAcentral. Lineage: Eukaryota; Metazoa; Chordata; Mammalia; Carnivora; Felidae.
GCCUGGAUGGCUCAGUUGGUAGAGCGUCAGACUCUUAAUCUUGCGUUGUGGGUUCGAGCCCAAUACUGGGUG